GCAGUCGAACGGUGAUAGCAAUAUCAUAGUGGCGCACGGGUGCGUAACACGUAUGCAACCUACCUAUUAUUGGGGGAUAGCCUUUGGAAACGGAGAUUAAUACCGCAUAAUACGAUUGACUGGCAUCGGUUGAUUGUUAAAGCUUCGGCGAUAAUAGAUGGGCAUGCGUCCAAUUAGUUAGUUGGUUAGGUAACGGCUGACCAAGACGAUGAUUGGUAGGGGAUCUGAGAGGAUAAUCCCCCACACUGGCACUGAGAUACGGGCCAGACUCCUACGGGAGGCAGCAGUAGGGAAUAUUGGGCAAUGGGCGGAAGCCUGACCCAGCCACGCCGCGUGCAGGAAGAAGGCGUUAUGCGUUGUAAACUGCUUUUUUAUAGGAAGAAGGAUCCCUUGCGAGGGAAGGUGACGGUACUAUAAGAAUAAGCACCGGCUAACUCCGUGCCAGCAGCCGCGGUAAUACGGAGGAUGCAAGCGUUGUCCGGAUUUAUUGGGUUUAAAGGGUGCGUAGGCGGUUUAUUAAGUCAGUGGUGGAAGACGGUCGCUCAACGAUUGCAGUGCCAUUGAUACUGGUAGACUUGAGUGAGAUUGAGGUAGCUGGAAUGGAUGGUGUANGCGGUGAAAUGCAUAGAUAUUAUCCAGAACACCGAUUGUGAAGGCAGGUUACUAAGUCUUAACUGACGCUGAG
RNAcentral lists this ribosomal RNA (685 nucleotides) under uncultured bacterium. RNAcentral's name for it is "bacterial SSU rRNA". It matches the Rfam family "Bacterial small subunit ribosomal RNA", at positions 57 to 750 of the family's 1533-position model. The record is from RNAcentral.